AGAUGCGAUCUUACCCGCACUAAAGCACCAGAUCCCAUUAGAACUCCGAAGUUAAGCGUGCUUGGGCGAAAGUAGUACUAGGAUGGGUGACCUCUUGGGAAGUCCUCGUGUUGCAUUCC
Triticum aestivum (bread wheat) is the source of this 119-nucleotide non-coding RNA. The record is from Rfam. Lineage: Eukaryota; Viridiplantae; Streptophyta; Magnoliopsida; Poales; Poaceae.